GUUGAUUGCAGCUGAGGGACGUAGAUAUUGAGUUUUUUUAAUUUUAUAUUUUACAAGCACCGGUUGAUAAUAAAACAAACGCCGCCCUUACAAGGACAUUACAAUUAAUGCUAUACUUUAUUAAAACUAAACAACAAAAUAAAAUUGAAAUGGACAAUAAAGUUUACAAAAAAAAAUGAAAAAAAAACUGUCACCAAAUUUUAAAGGUUAACCUACUGUUGAAUACUCAUUUGUAUACGAAAUUUAAGAAAAUUUGCUGUUGGUAACUAAUUGCGCAUCCGGUUAACUCAUAAUCGAGUUACUACUGUAUUUUACAACUACGUUCGAGGAUGGAAGUAUUAUCAACAGCAAAAAAAUAAAUAAAUAAAUAAAUAAAAUAAAGAACAGAGACAAAUAACGGACCGGACUCCAAAUUUGUUUAUAUUUAAUCGGGACAUUAACGACGAUUUUUAAAAAACGUAUACUAACUACAAGGAACCAAAACUAACUUCGCUUCGGGUGAAAUUUUAGAGGAAAAAUCAAUUGUUUUAAAUUUAUUUGUCAUCAUAAGCGUUUUUAUUUUUUGUGAAUCAAAAUAAAGUAAAAGCUUCUUUGUAAUGUAUGAGAAUGACGAUCAAUUUAUUCCAAAUGAGGAAGGUGACAUAUUGGUUAAAGAUCAAUAAACAAAUACUCAAUUUUGGGUUCCUGCCAAUGAGAUGGUUUAAAAAUAGUAUGUAGAUGCUUUUUGAACACCUAGUUUUAAGCCCUGCAGUUAGGGCAAAAAUAUCAAAUAAUAAAAAAAUGCUGUUUGUUUUCAUACUGGAAAACUAGAAGAGGCCCAGGAACCUGGGAAAAAUCUUACAUUGCCCCAAGAAGUAACACUUUUAAUUAUAUUAUAUUCUAGCAUUGAACCGAGGUGGCUUUUACUUGAUGAAAAUCCAUUUAACCAGAUAAAUAAGAACUAAAAGUUAAGAUUUUUACGAAAUUAUACAUAUUCACAUGACAAUUGCUACUGCAAGGAAAGCCCAGAUCCAAGGUCAGACGAAAUUGAUGAAGGAAGAACGAAGACAUAUAGACAUUUGGUAAAGACAGUGUUGUCGAAACUAUUGUUAUGUGAAUAUAUAUAAUUUCGUGAAAAUCUUUUAGUUUUUAUUUAUCUGGUUAUAUUGUAGCCAUGAAAAGUGUUUUGACGCUAAGCUAAAAGAACACGCUUGUCAAAAACUCACAAAGGAAUUUAAUUAAAAAACAAGAAAAACACUAACUGAAAUGAAUGUUAAAAAAAGUGGAGAGCUUCAAAAAGGGCCUACAAGAAAAUAAAAUUUAAAAAUUCUCAGAGGUGUGGAAAACAUAAAUAAUAGAUAAUAUACUGAAGAAAAAAAACAGAAUUUAAUAUUAAUAAAUAAAUUCACUUUAUCCUGUCUUUUAGUACAUACUGAAAAAAAUGACUCGAAAGCUGAAAUCUUGGAGUCCCCUAAUGAGAUACCAAAUGACACACCUAAAUCUGGAUUUGUUGAAAGAACAGCAGGACCAAAUGUGACUGAUAGUCAUAAAGAUAAAAUGGCUUGACACCACACACCAUGAAAAUAUGAUAGAGAACAUGUAAAAGUGCAAUUAAUAUAAAACAUUAGACAGUAAGUUAGUUGGUUAAC
Cylas formicarius (sweet potato weevil) is the source of this 1628-nucleotide long non-coding RNA. RefSeq lists it as uncharacterized. Lineage: Eukaryota; Metazoa; Arthropoda; Insecta; Coleoptera; Brentidae. The record is from RefSeq and is a predicted model, not a curated record. The transcript is spliced from 4 exons.